This is a microRNA precursor of Accipiter nisus (Eurasian sparrowhawk), 72 nucleotides long. The record is from Ensembl. NCBI's taxonomy places the organism in Eukaryota, Metazoa, Chordata, Aves, Accipitriformes, Accipitridae.
UUCUCAGCUUUGAGAACUGAAUUCCAUGGGUUGUAAUUGAAUCUGCUGUCAGACCCAUGGGGCUCAGUUCUU